AUACGUAGGGUGCGAGCGUUGUCCGGAAUUACUGGGCGUAAAGAGCUCGUAGGUGGUUUGUCGCGUCGUCUGUGAAAUUCCGGGGCUUAACUCCGGGCGUGCAGGCGAUACGGGCAUAACUUGAGUACUGUAGGGGAGACUGGAAUUCCUGGUGUAGCGGUGAAAUGCGCAGAUAUCAGGAGGAACACCGGUGGCGAAGGCGGGUCUCUGGGCAGUAACUGACGCUGAGGAGCGAAAGCAUGGGUAGCGAACAGGAUUAGAUACCCUGGUAGUCCAUGCCGUAAACGGUGGGCGCUAGGUGUAGGGGUCUUCCACGACUUCUGUGCCGUAGCUAACGCAUUAAGCGCCCCGCCUGGGGAGUACGGCCGCAAGUCUAAAACUCAAAGGAAUUGACGGGG
Molecule: ribosomal RNA, 398 nt
Filed under: uncultured bacterium
Lineage: Bacteria
Description: partial 16S ribosomal RNA
Rfam family: Bacterial small subunit ribosomal RNA
Source: RNAcentral